This 440-nucleotide ribosomal RNA is filed under the name uncultured bacterium. RNAcentral describes it as "partial 16S ribosomal RNA". It matches the Rfam family "Bacterial small subunit ribosomal RNA", at positions 338 to 795 of the family's 1533-position model. The record is from RNAcentral.
CCUACGGGCGGCAGCAGUGGGGAAUAUUGCACAAUGGGGGAAACCCUGAUGCAGCGACGCCGCGUGAGUGAGGAAGUAUUUCGGUAUGUAAAGCUCUAUCAGCAGGGAAGAAAAUGACGGUACCUGACUAAGAAGCCCCGGCUAACUACGUGCCAGCAGCCGCGGUAAUACGUAGGGGGCAAGCGUUAUCCGGAUUUACUGGGUGUAAAGGGAGCGUAGACGGCUAAUCAAGUCAGAAGUGAAAACCCAGGGCUCAACCUUGGGAGUGCUUUUGAAACUGAGUAGCUAGAGUGCAGGAGAGGUAAGCGGAAUUCCUAGUGUAGCGGUGAAAUGCGUAGAUAUUAGGAGGAACACCAGUGGCGAAGGCGACUAUCUGGCACAUAACUGACGCUGAGGAGCGAAAGCGUGGGUAGCAAACAGGAUUAGAUACCCGAGUAGUC